This 523-nucleotide ribosomal RNA is filed under the name uncultured bacterium. Its description in RNAcentral is "partial 16S ribosomal RNA". It matches the Rfam family "Bacterial small subunit ribosomal RNA", at positions 355 to 870 of the family's 1533-position model. The record is from RNAcentral.
UGGGGAAUUUUGGACAAUGGGCGAAAGCCUGAUCCAGCAAUGCCGCGUGUGUGAAGAAGGCCUUCGGGUUGUAAAGCACUUUUGUCCGGAAAGAAAUCCUUGGCUCUAAUACAGUCGGGGGAUGACGGUACCGGAAGAAUAAGCACCGGCUAACUACGUGCCAGCAGCCGCGGUAAUACGUAGGGUGCAAGCGUUAAUCGGAAUUACUGGGCGUAAAGCGUACGCAGGCGGUUUGCUAAGACCGAUGUGAAAUCCCCGGGCUCAACCUGGGAACUGCAUUGGUGACUGGCAGGCUAGAGUAUGGCAGAGGGGGGUAGAAUUCCACGUGUAGCAGUGAAAUGCGUAGAGAUGUGGAGGAAUACCGAUGGCGAAGGCAGCCCCCUGGGCCAAUACUGACGCUCAUGCACGAAAGCGUGGGGAGCAAACAGGAUUAGAUACCCUGGUAGUCCACGCCCUAAAACGAUGUCAACUAGUUGUUGGGGAUUCAUUUCCUUAGUAACGUAGCUAACGCGUGAAGUUGACC